GUCUAUGGCUAUGCCACCCCGAACACACCCAAUUCCAUCUGUUCUCGGAAGCGAAGCAGGGUCGGGCCUGGUUAGUACUUCGAUAGGAGAUCACCUAGGAAGACCAGGUGCUGUAAGUG
Molecule: ribosomal RNA, 119 nt
Filed under: Pteropus alecto (black flying fox)
Lineage: Eukaryota; Metazoa; Chordata; Mammalia; Chiroptera; Pteropodidae
Source: RNAcentral